This 1290-nucleotide ribosomal RNA is filed under the name Mycobacterium intracellulare. RNAcentral describes it as "bacterial SSU rRNA". It matches the Rfam family "Bacterial small subunit ribosomal RNA", at positions 80 to 1370 of the family's 1533-position model. Lineage: Bacteria; Bacillati; Actinomycetota; Actinomycetes; Mycobacteriales; Mycobacteriaceae. The record is from RNAcentral.
UUCGGGGGUACUCGAGUGGCGAACGGGUGAGUAACACGUGAGCAAUCUGCCGUGCACUUCGGGAUAAGCCUGGAAAACUGGGUCUAAGACCGGAUAGGACCUUUAGGCGCAUGUCUUUAGGUGGAAAGCUUUUGCGGUGUGGGAUGGGCCCGCGGCCUAUCAGCUUGUUGUUGGGGUGAUGGCCUACCAAGGCGACGACGGGGAGCCGGCCUGAGAGGGUGUGCGGGCACACUGGGACUGAGAUACGGCCCAGACUCCUACGGGAGGCAGCAGUGGGGAAUAUUGCACAAUGGGCGCAAGCCUGAUGCAGCGACGCCGCGUGGGGGAUGACGGCCUUCGGGUUGUAAACCUCUUUCACCAUCGACGAAGGUUCGGGUUUUCUCGGAUUGACGGUGAGGGGUGGAGAAGCACCGGCCAACUACGUGCCAGCAGCCGCGGUAAUACGUAGGGUGCGAGCGUUGUCCGGAAUUACUGGGCGUAAAGAGCUCGUAGGUGGUUUGUCGCGUUGUUCGUGAAAUCUCACGGCUUAACUGUGAGCGUGCGGGCGAUACGGGCAGACUAGAGUACUGCAGGGGAGACUGGAAUUCCUGGUGUAGCGGUGGAAUGCGCAGAUAUCAGGAGGAACACCGGUGGCGAAGGCGGGUCUCUGGGCAGUAACUGACGCUGAGGAGCGAAAGCGUGGGGAGCGAACAGGAUUAGAUACCCUGGUAGUCCACGCCGUAAACGGUGGGUACUAGGUGUGGGUUUCCUUCCUUGGGAUCCGUGCCGUAGCUAACGCAUUAAGUACCCCGCCUGGGGAGUACGGCCGCAAGGCUAAAACUCAAAGGAAUUGACGGGGGCCCGCACAAGCGGCGGAGCAUGUGGAUUAAUUCGAUGCAACGCGAAGAACCUUACCUGGGUUUGACAUGCACAGGACGCGUCUAGAGAUAGGCGUUCCCUUGUGGCCUGUGUGCAGGUGGUGCAUGGCUGUCGUCAGCUCGUGUCGUGAGAUGUUGGGUUAAGUCCCGCAACGAGCGCAACCCUUGUCUCAUGUUGCCAGCGGGUAAUGCCGGGGACUCGUGAGAGACUGCCGGGGUCAACUCGGAGGAAGGUGGGGAUGACGUCAAGUCAUCAUGCCCCUUAUGUCCAGGGCUUCACACAUGCUACAAUGGCCGGUACAAAGGGCUGCGAUGCCGCAAGGUUAAGCGAAUCCUUUUAAAGCCGGUCUCAGUUCGGAUUGGGGUCUGCAACUCGACCCCAUGAAGUCGGAGUCGCUAGUAAUCGCAGAUCAGCAACGCUGCGGUGAAUACG